Lagopus muta (rock ptarmigan) is the source of this 1797-nucleotide long non-coding RNA. RefSeq lists it as uncharacterized. The transcript is spliced from 3 exons. Lineage: Eukaryota; Metazoa; Chordata; Aves; Galliformes; Phasianidae. The record is from RefSeq and is a predicted model, not a curated record.
GCUGUACAGGGUCCUCUGUAGCAUGGUGCCUUAUUCCAAUGAGGUGUUUUGUCAGAAAAAGAGUAGUGGAAGCAGCCCCAGAGUCACUAUCUGUGUUGUAGAUGGUAUCUGAUCUCAAAGAGAAGAGGGAGAGAGGAAUGAAGCCCGUCAGCAUCCUUUCUUGGAAACACACCUGCCUGCAGUGAGUCUGUCCCACAGCAAGUGUGGUGCUCUGCUCCCACGACCCUGCCAGCCCAAGCUCAGACGUUCCUUCAGCUGCCACGUGUGAAGGUACACUUGAAGAGUGAAGAGCUGCAUAAGUUCUUAGCAGAAGAAAGGAGGGGUACAGCACUGUAAUGCCAGGGAUGAAAAGCCCAUCCCUUGUUUGGUGCUGGACACUAGGGUGAACUCACGAUAUUGCAGGAUUCUGGAGCUGACAGCAAAUAGCAGCUCAUGGACUCAAGGUGUUAAAAAGAUUACAAGACAGAACAUCUCAUACAAGACAGCUCAUCUUAUUCAAGAUUGUUGUAGGAAGAUUUUUGCACUGUGAUUACUGAACAAAGAUAUUUUUCUGCGCAAAAGAACCAUUUAAGGCAUUGGACCUGAAGAUGAACUUACUGUGUUUUGACAAUGGCCAUUUACUGAAGUUUGAAUUUCCAGGGCUCCAAUUACACAUAUUUUUGUAAGCCCGUUCAUACUACACAUGAGACUGAGAGAAAGCAAAUGCUCCCUGCUGGGGUGGAAUUUUUGACUUGACUGUUCUCUUAGUGUUCAUGUAAAAGUCAGAGAAGCACUGUGGUUUUGGACCAUGUCAACUCAUACCACAUACUGUGAUCUUAUACUCUACAGGCCAGAUAUGACUGACUUACAGCUCAGUUUUCAUUUGAACUGAGACUUGAUUCUUCAGUAUUUUUAAUGAAGCACACUUGCAUGUACCCUGGGUAGGCAGGCUGGCGGGAAGACAUCUCUGGGAUGAAAUCACGCUCCCACAAUGGAGCCAGUCACUAGGUUGUCUCAAGUCCCUAUCUAGGCAACUGCUUGUUUUGUGCUAUGCAAUGAUGAUGCCUUCAGGGCCACUAGCUCAUGCUGUCUCACCAAAACUCUCCUUUAGAUGAAUGUCCAUGGGUGAAACCUUUUGCAAGUGAAGGAAUUAAAUGUCACACCUUUGCUCCAUAUACAUGUCCAUGUCAGACACUGUUUUGUCAGACUGCAAGUGUGCUGCCAUCUGUCACGUGGCCAACACAGGCAGAAUAUCAGUGGGAAGGUUCAGCUUAUACUACCAUGCCACCAACAUCCACCUCUGACGUCAUCUGCUGACAUAAUGAAAUAGCAGAUACUGCUUUCAGUGCAGCCCUCAUAUAAGGCUUCAGUUUCUCCAGAAAAAAACAACGAAGGAAAAUACUGUAAGCACAUAAAAUAUAUAAACUGAUAGUACUUCACAAAGCUUACUUGUUAUGUAGUGAAAUUAAGCAUUUGAGUUUUAAUUUUGAUAAGUUAUUAGCUUUUAUUUUUUUUUGUAGUUCAUUUCCAUGCUUGCUCAAUGCAUAAGAACUCGGGUAAGUACCACAUUUCCACUAGCUGAACUUUAUGGCAAUCCCAGAGAUUAAAUUUUAAAAUUUUAUGAUGCUUAUUAAUAGGAAAUAGAUAUGCCUAUGUGCUUAAAAUUAUGGUGCAGAGUAUCUUCAAACGAGAACUGCUUUUAAAUCUUUCCACUGGAGAUAGCAAGGUAAGGUAAAUUAAGAUGGAAUUUUAAGGUUCGUCUGUUUAAGGGUCUUUCUAAUGCAAAUACUCUUACAUGAGAUGAGCAUUUUUUUGGUG